AGUGAACGCUGGCGGCGUGCCUAAUACAUGCAAGUCGAACGGAGUGGCGCGCGGGUGAGUAAUGUAUAGCUAAUCUUCCCUACACUAGAGGACAACAGUUGGAAACGACUGCUACUACUCUAUAGUGUAGGAUGAGGGUAUAUUGUAUCAGCUAGUUGGUGAGGUAAUGGCUCCCGAAGGCUAUGACGCAUAACUGGUCUGAGAGGAUGAUCAGUCACACUGGAACUGAGACACCGGCCAGAAUCCUACGGGAGGGAGCAGUAGGGAAUAUUGCUCAAUGGGGGAAACCCUGAAGCAGCAACGCCGCGUGGAGGAUGACAAUUUGGGGAGCGUAAACUCCUUUUGUUAGGGAAGCGGUACCUAACGAAUAAGCACCGGCUAACUCCGUGCCAGCAGCCGCGGUAAUUC
RNAcentral lists this ribosomal RNA (408 nucleotides) under uncultured bacterium. RNAcentral's name for it is "partial 16S ribosomal RNA". It matches the Rfam family "Bacterial small subunit ribosomal RNA", at positions 29 to 526 of the family's 1533-position model. The record is from RNAcentral.